Molecule: long non-coding RNA, 210 nt
Filed under: Mus pahari (shrew mouse)
Lineage: Eukaryota; Metazoa; Chordata; Mammalia; Rodentia; Muridae
Description: SRY (sex determining region Y)-box 5, opposite strand 5 (MGP_PahariEiJ_G0003033.1)
Source: RNAcentral
AGAGAUGCUCGUUCCUCUUGCUGUCUGCCACCAGUAUGCAGGGAACUCAAGAGCAGGAGUGACUCCCCACCCCAAGAAACAAGUGUCCACAAGACGGUUCCUUCCUAGAAGAAGGAAUGAAGACAGAGAAGGCCAGGGCAUCACUGAUACUUUAGUGAACCUGGUGUUCAUGUGGGAAUCUGCGUAAUAAAAAAAAAUCACUGUAAUACA